AUUGAACGCUGGCGGCAUGCUUUACACAUGCAAGUCGAACGGCAGCACGGGCUUCGGCCUGGUGGCGAGUGGCGAACGGGUGAGUAAUGCGUCGGAACGUGCCGAGUAAUGGGGGAUAACGCAUCGAAAGGUGUGCUAAUACCGCAUACGCUCUGAGGAGGAAAGCGGGGGACCUUCGGGCCUCGCGUUAUUCGAGCGGCCGACGUCUGAUUAGCUAGUUGGUGGGGUAAAGGCUCACCAAGGCGACGAUCAGUAGCGGGUCUGAGAGGAUGAUCCGCCACACUGGGACUGAGACACGGCCCAGACUCCUACGGGAGGCAGCAGUGGGGAAUUUUGGACAAUGGGCGAAAGCCUGAUCCAGCCAUGCCGCGUGAGUGAAGAAGGCCUUCGGGUUGUAAAGCUCUUUUGUCCGGGAGGAAAUCCCGUAACCUAAUACGUUACGGGGAUGACAGUACUGGAAGAAUAAGCACCGGCUAACUACGUGCCAGCAGCCGCGGUAAUACGUAGGGUGCAAGCGUUAAUCGGAAUUACUGGGCGUAAAGCGUGCGCAGGCGGUUUGAUAAGUCANAUGUGAAAUCCCCGGGCUUAACCUGGGAACUGCGUUUGAAACUGUCNNNNUAGAGUACNUCANAGGGGGGUGGAAUUCCACGUGUAGCAGUGAAAUGCNUAGAGAUGUGGAGGAACACCGAUGG
RNAcentral lists this ribosomal RNA (692 nucleotides) under uncultured prokaryote. Its description in RNAcentral is "bacterial SSU rRNA". It matches the Rfam family "Bacterial small subunit ribosomal RNA", at positions 28 to 715 of the family's 1533-position model. The record is from RNAcentral.